Long non-coding RNA from Salvelinus sp. IW2-2015, 1082 nucleotides. RefSeq lists it as uncharacterized. The record is from RefSeq and is a predicted model, not a curated record. Lineage: Eukaryota; Metazoa; Chordata; Actinopteri; Salmoniformes; Salmonidae.
GAAACAUAUACCUCCUCCUUUCUUUUUCUCAGAGUGUUCUUUCUUCCUGAUGUAUGGAGAAUCCCGCUGGCUGUAUGGAUGGAGACAAUAUAUCCAGAGAGAGCCAUGAGUAUGUUACAGUCCCUGAUGUCUCUCUGGAAGGAGCUCCUAGCCCUGAGCUCAUCAACUUUAUUGUCCAGGGACUGAACAUUGGCGAGUUAUAUACUCAGAAGAGGUGGAUGGUAUGCAUGCCUCCUGAGUCGGACUAAAAGCCCACUCCGUAUUCCUCUUCUCUGUCGGCAGAGUCUUGGAGCAGCCCCUGGGAAGAGUGGAAAUGCAUCGGGGGGUACGAACAAAGGAUCCAAUUCAGGAAAGUCGAAUUUCUGGUCUAAAUGCUGAUUCCAGUGGUUGAAACCGGCUGAGAUUUUAAGCAAAUGGCAUCUGGCUAAAGGUCACAGUCAGGGGGCCCAGUGGGUGAAAGGUUGAAUAACCUGAAGGAAAGUAGUGGUUCUUUCAGAGGGGAGAUGUUUAAUAGGUUUAGACGCUAGUUCUCUUUGUUUUAGUUUUCCAGAUACUACUCCAGGCUCCCCCUUAUCCUUGCCUGUGUUAUGUAUGACACUUCAAUGUUUAGCACUUGAUUUAUUUAAUUCACCAAGCACACCUUCUUGAUUGAGUACAGGUGUGUUACAGAUGUAGGAUCUUAAUUUGAUCACUCUUUUCUUGCUGAGAAUUGCAGAUGAGCUUCGUGAUUUACUUAAAUUCACAAAAAACCUGUAAUAACACACGGUUAUAUUAACAAUAUUGGACUUUUCAUGUAGCCUACUUUUGUCCAGCUAAUAGCUUAACCACUGAUCGAGCAACAAUAUGCACUAAACAUUCAAAUCCUUUUGCUGCAGGAUUAUUUUGCUAAAACAACACUGGUCAAAUUAAGAUCCUACAUCUGUAUUCACUCUAUCAAAGUAGCAUUUUGAUCACUUCAAAACAUCUGUGGAUCCUUCACCAUAAACUGUGUGGUAAUAUUACUUUCUGAUUAUUCAUGAUAAUCUGUUUAUUAUUUUGCUAGUUGUAGUUUUUAUUUGGUAAAAAUAAAUGUAAAAUGUUUA